Cinara cedri is the source of this 507-nucleotide non-coding RNA. NCBI's taxonomy places the organism in Eukaryota, Metazoa, Arthropoda, Insecta, Hemiptera, Aphididae. The record is from the annotation of a GenBank genome assembly.
ACAAUAAACAUUUAACGUGUGCCAACUCGAUGCAUUUUAUUCAAUUAACUCGACUUGAAAUUGUUUGUUAACUUGUCCAGCCUUGAAAAUAUUAUAUGUUUGCAUGUUAGUUAUUAUUGCAUACGGAAUUCUCUCAACCUAUAGCUUAUAUAAUGUAAUAUUCUGUUUUUUCAAAUACGCGUUCAAAGUUAGGCCGUUUUAUUUCGGACGUAAUACAGUACCCGAAAACGGACUACUGCGACGCAAGUACGUCACUACUGGUCGACUGAUUAAUCAUCAUUAUAAAUAGUAAUGCCCUUUGAGUUGACUUUUGCACAGACGGCAGCGCAGUGAAUAUAAUACGUAUGUACAAAAACAAAUUCGAUAUUACCGGUCCGUGUCCGUUGUGUUCGUAGUUUAAACGUUUGUUAUGCGUAUUUUAGGGUGACGCAACGUACAGUGCCGUAUACGUAUACCGUUUACCGAGAGAUACUGGACAAAAUCAUACUUUUAAAAAUACUAAACAUU